Molecule: ribosomal RNA, 274 nt
Filed under: uncultured bacterium
Lineage: Bacteria
Description: partial 16S ribosomal RNA
Rfam family: Bacterial small subunit ribosomal RNA
Source: RNAcentral
AUACGGAGGGGGCUAGCGUUGUUCGGAAUUACUGGGCGUAAAGCGCGCGUAGGCGGCUUAUCAAGUUAGGCGUGAAAGGCCUGGGCUCAACCCGGGAACUGCGCUUAAUACUGGUAGACUUGAGUCCGGGAGAGGGUGGCGGAAUUCCCAGUGUAGAGGUGAAAUUCGUAGAUAUUGGGAAGAACACCAGUGGCGAAGGCGGCCACCUGGCUCGGUACUGACGCUGAGGUGCGAAAGCGUGGGGAGCAAACAGGAUUAGAAACCCCAGUAGUCC